GGAGGUGUGCCCGAGCGGCCGAAGGGAACGGUCUUGAAAACCGUCGAGGCAGCGAUGUCUCCGUGGGUUCAAAUCCCACCGCCUCCG
This 87-nucleotide transfer RNA is filed under the name Streptomyces cacaoi. It matches the Rfam family "tRNA". Rfam says of the family: Transfer RNA (tRNA) molecules are approximately 80 nucleotides in length. Their secondary structure includes four short double-helical elements and three loops (D, anti-codon, and T loops). Further hydrogen bonds mediate the characteristic L-shaped molecular structure. tRNAs have two regions of fundamental functional importance: the anti-codon, which is responsible for specific mRNA codon recognition, and the 3' end, to which the tRNAs corresponding amino acid is attached (by aminoacyl-tRNA synthetases). tRNAs cope with the degeneracy of the genetic code in two manners: having more than one tRNA (with a specific anti-codon) for a particular amino acid; and 'wobble' base-pairing, i.e. permitting non-standard base-pairing at the 3rd anti-codon position. The record is from Rfam by way of RNAcentral. Lineage: Bacteria; Bacillati; Actinomycetota; Actinomycetes; Kitasatosporales; Streptomycetaceae. RNAcentral also lists the same sequence under 12 other names.